Molecule: long non-coding RNA, 610 nt
Filed under: Panax ginseng (ginseng)
Lineage: Eukaryota; Viridiplantae; Streptophyta; Magnoliopsida; Apiales; Araliaceae
Description: long non-coding RNA (PGIN_LNC015273)
Source: RNAcentral
GAGUUUGUGAGGGAAGUGCAAGGUACUACAUCAACAAGAACAGAAUUGGAACAAUACUUAGAAGAGAAAAUCGUCACUAACAAAUCUUCUUUUAAUAUUCUAGAAGAAUGGAAAAAACUUUCUGAGAGGUACCCAAUCCUUAUUUUUUAUUCUAGUUUUAUACCUUUAUUUGAUACAUGACUAAUGACUAUUUAGAUCUUUCAAAUAUUGCGUUAUUAUAGAUAUCCAAUACUAGCGAAUAUGGCAUAUGAUAUCUUAUCAAUUCCAAUUACAACGAUUGCUUCGGAGUCGACCUUUAGCAUUGGAGCAAAAGUUCUCACAAAAUAUCGUAGUUCGCUUUUACCAGAUAAUGCACAAGCAUUAAUUUGUGGACGUAAUUGGAUUUGUGGAUAUGAAAUACAAGGUUUGUUCUAAUUGUAAAUAUUAUUACUUUAAUUGUAGCUUUUUAGUUUAAUUUUGGGUAUUGAACUAAUGAUAUUUUAAAUUGGCAUCUUUAAUGUAGAUGAUGGGCUAACGGACGACCAACUUUUGGUACCGCUAGUUGCAAAUCAAGAGUCAAAGGGUUCUAACAUGGGCGAAAUUACAAGGAGUGAUUAGACAUUACUCACUA